This 729-nucleotide ribosomal RNA is filed under the name uncultured eukaryote. RNAcentral's name for it is "SSU rRNA". It matches the Rfam family "Eukaryotic small subunit ribosomal RNA", at positions 670 to 1426 of the family's 1831-position model. The record is from RNAcentral.
CGGGUGCACUGAUCCAGCCGGGCCUUUCCCUCUGUGGAACCCCAUGGCCUUCACUGGCUGUGGCGGGGAAACAGGACUUUUACUUUGAAAAAAUUAGAGUGCUCCAGGCAGGCCCAUGCUCGAAUACAUUAGCAUGGAAUAAUAGAAUAGGACGUGUGGUUCUAUUUUGUUGGUUUCUAGGACCGCCGUAAUGAUUAAUAGGGACAGUCGGGGGCAUCAGUAUUCAAUUGUCAGAGGUGAAAUUCUUGGAUCUAUUGAAGACUAACUACUGCGAAAGCAUUUGCCAAGGAUGUUUUCAUUGAUAAGGAACGAAAGUUAGGGGAUCGAAGACGAUCAGAUACCGUCGUAGUCUUAACUAUAAACUAUGCCGACUAGGGAUCGGACGAUGUUAUUCUUUGACGCGUUCGGCACCUUUCGAGAAAUCAAAGUGCUUGGGCUCCAGGGGGAGUAUGGUCGCAAGGCUGAAACUUAAAGAAAUUGACGGAAGGGCACCACCAGGGGUGGAACCUGCGGCUUAAUUUGACUCAACACGGGGAAACUCACCAGGUCCAGACACAGUGAGGAUUGACAGAUUGAGAGCUCUUUCUUGAUUCUGUGGGUGGUGGUGCAUGGCCGUUCUUAGUUGGUGGAGUGAUUUGUCUGCUUAAUUGCGAUAACGAACGAGACCUUAACCUGCUAAAUAGCCCGUACUGCUUUGGCAGUUCGCCGGCUUCUUAGAGGGACUAUCGG